UGACCUCAACUCAGUCGUGAUUACCCGCUGAAUUUAAGCAUUAACUA
This 47-nucleotide ribosomal RNA is filed under the name Acanthocheilonema spirocauda. RNAcentral describes it as "partial 28S ribosomal RNA". The record is from RNAcentral. Lineage: Eukaryota; Metazoa; Nematoda; Chromadorea; Rhabditida; Onchocercidae.